Molecule: ribosomal RNA, 253 nt
Filed under: uncultured bacterium
Lineage: Bacteria
Description: partial 16S ribosomal RNA
Rfam family: Bacterial small subunit ribosomal RNA
Source: RNAcentral
UACGUAGGGUGCAAGCGUUAAUCGGAAUUACUGGGCGUAAAGCGUGCGCAGGCGGUUGUGUAAGCCAGAUGUGAAAGCCCCGGGCUCAACCUGGGAAUGGCAUUUGGGACUGCAAGGCUUGAGUGCGGCAGAGGAGACUGGAAUUCCUGGUGUAGCGGUGGAAUGCGCAGAUAUCAGGAGGAACACCGGUGGCGAAGGCGGGACUCUGGGCCGAUACUGACGCUGAGGAGCGAAAGCGUGGGGAGCAAACAGG